This 465-nucleotide ribosomal RNA is filed under the name uncultured bacterium. RNAcentral's name for it is "partial 16S ribosomal RNA". It matches the Rfam family "Bacterial small subunit ribosomal RNA", at positions 28 to 507 of the family's 1533-position model. The record is from RNAcentral.
GACGAACGCUGGCGGCGUGCUUAACACAUGCAAGUCGAACGGAAAGGCCCCUUUGGGGGGCCUCGAGAGGCGUACGGGUGAGUAACACGGGAGUAACCUGCCCAAGACGUCGGCAAAACAUCAGGAAACUGGGGCUAAUAUCGGGUAGGAAUCCUUGCUGCAUGGUAGCGGUUGGAAAGAUCAGGCGGUUGUGGACGGACCUGCGGCUUAUCAGCAUGUGGGUGGGGUAGUGGCAUACCAAGGCUUUGACGGGGAGCCGGCCAGAGAGGGCGACUGGCCACAGUGAGACUGGGAUACGGCCCAGACUCCUACGGGAGGCAGCAGUAGGGAAUAUUGCACAAGGGGCGUAAGCCGGAUGCAGCUGCGCCGCGUGCGGGAUGACGGCCUUCGGGUUGUAAACCGCUUUCAGCAGGGGCGAAGCUUGUAAUGACGGUACCUGCGGAAGAAGCACCGGCUAACUACGUG